GCGAGGGGAAAAGAAAUAAAUUUGAAUAACUUGUUGCACUCAUCAGUAUAAUAGCUGGAUUGCAUGCACAUUACCUUUAAAAUAAUAUGAAUGUAUGAAUGAAAUAGUCCCACUAUCUGUACUUAAUUUGUUUUCUUUAUUUACAUGAAGAAUAUUGCUUGUUGUAUGCGGUUCCCCGAUGCACAAGGCCAUGCCACUGCAUAUUCCUCAUGGGUUACAGAACUGGAUAUAAGUAAUUACUGACAACGGCAUUAUGCUGUAGAAACUGUUCCCGUGGUGUUGGUAAUCACGCUGAAGUGACUGUUCUAUUACUAAGAAUAAUACUCUGCUCUCUCCUCCUUAAGGCUGGCUGCAUGAUGAACUGUCAUAGGGAACUAUUUUGUACAAGGGAGAAAAAGACAUUUUGAAGCUGUCAGAGCAGCAACGGAAUGAGGAGUCCGCCAGCCCCCCUUUCACCCUCACGUUAACGGUACCCCAGCUCCGUUCAUUCAGGCGAUAUUUUAAAUGUCUUUUUGACCACUUCUCUUUUUCCUUAGUGAAUUUCUAGUAAGACGGAACUUUUUUUGAACUUUGUAGUAUGUGCUGGGGGAUGCCAAAGCUUACCGGCACAGAGAAGAAGGACUUCUCCUCCCAGAGAGCCCGCAGUGGCAGUGCCAGCGUCAGUGACCUCCAGAAGCACCCAGGCUCUAAGUCGAUCCCAGCUGGGGAUAUUAAGUGCUCAGCACCGGGGCAAAUGAGGCCCUGCAGAACUAAGCACUGGGAAGCAGAUACAGCGGUGUUCAAAAUUAGUCCAGGGCUGAAAAUAGAGCCAUAAGGAGAGGGCUGCAGGCAGCCUGGGCUGCGAGUGUGCACGAGCUGCUCCUCACUGACUGACGGGCCCGUCCUCAGCACUUUUGACCGUCAUGGAAAUUUUGCAAGGAUAACAGGAAAAAAUUCCCGCCGAUUCAUUUGACUGUCCUCUCUCGCUGCUCCUGAGAGCGCAGGCAGGAGCUGUCGAGCAAGACUGAAGGCAAGGAACGUCUUCCCAGGAAAAUUUUGAGGAUGCUGAUGUGGGAUGGUGCCGAGUUCUUGACAAACCACUUCAUCAUCACCUACAAAGUUUCCCGAAACACCAGUUUCAGCUUCCACUUAAGGACACGCAAAUGCCCUAAGUAGCAGAGUUUCAGGGUACUGCCAUAGAGGAAGAAGUGGCAGCACACUUCACAUCCGACUGGAGGACAGCGAUACAUAAACGCUGAUCUGGAGGAUAGCGCUGUGUGUGUGAAAGGGGUAGAACAAGAGGUAAUUCUAAGGUCAGGAUCCUACAUGCAGCAGAAGCCUGUAAAAGGAGAGCAUUCUCCUUACCGCUAGACUUCCCCCUGUGCUUUUUCUCCACAGUGUUCAUUUUCUUGAGGCAAACUUUUCCACUUUUUUAUUCAGAGAGUUUCGGGGGUCCGGGUAAUACUGGCUUGGCUUUGCAGAGGUAGUCUGCCACCCUCUUAGAACAUAUUUCUAAGUGCUUCUGAUAAGUUUAACAACUGGAUCCAUUCUUUACCUCUAGCAAAAAUACAUCAGAGGAAAAAGCAGGUCAGUUUUCUCCCAGUUGCACCUUUACCCUCGCAUACCAGUCACCUGCUCUAAGAGUCAAAGGGCCAUUCUGUUUCUGCAGUCCAUUUAAUGCCCGACCCACUACAUAAAUGAAAACAUUCUUCUUGAGUUUAAAGGGAUUUGGAUUGGGCCUUAAUGCUUAAUCUAAAAACAAGAGCAGCUUGUUAUAGUGAUAACGUCACAAAACGACAGCCUGUAAAAACUGUAUUGCAAACCGAACUCUUCGAACAGAGAUUAUAAAACAACUAGCAAGUUGUUUGUGAAGGAUAUCUACUUUAAUUGCAUACAGCCUUGCAAUAUGGAAGAGUGAUAGAGGCUGGAAUAACCUUUGAACGCCAGAUUGUAUUUCCUGAUGACACAGAAUGCCCUCUGCUUGCACUUUGAAAAGAUACAGGGAAAUAAAUGUUGAAUCUUAAGACAGACCCAAAUUAAUCUUUAAUGAUUUUGAAAUAUUUAUGUAAUCUACCAGUUACAUGCAGCAAAAAAUAAUUUAUGAGAAUCAUAACAAAGAAAAUUAGGUAGAAUAAGGUCAAUCUGCUAUCACUGUUGUGCAGCUAAACUUAUAAUCACAUUUUCAGUAGCUGGAUAUUAAGAUAAUUCAUCUAUCCAGCACGGGCAUUAAAGGCUUGAACCUCUAGUCACUUAAUCACGUAGCUUCACUUUUGAGAUGAGCCCUGAAACUCACUUGUCAAGCGAGUUAAUCUGCAGGAUCUGGUUCUGAUCACAAACGCAGUGCGCAGCACAGGGCGGGAUGAACCCCGGAGGCUCUCCGUGGGAGCAGCAGGACACCGGCCUCUGGACGGUGGCUGGUAGACAGCGGUGUCUAGGCACCCAGCAGCAUGGCCUGAGGGUGAUUUUGAUAGUCUAACUGCACCCAGCAAAGAACAACAAUCAACAUACCAUACCUGUCAAACGUUUCUUGCUGUUAUCUACGGAACAUGGCAAAAACCCGGUGAAGAAAUUCUCUAUGUGCUAAGAAAUACGCAAGAUGCAUACGCCAGGCUUCUGCCUGAAAACCAUCUUUGACAUCCUUCGAUCAUCAGCAGGUGUGGCUGGCAGCAGAGAGAGAUCUCGACCCUUCACGCGAUCAAGCGAACGUCUGAUUUUACUGCAGCGGAAUUUAUUGCGUACCUACAGGUUUCCACGGCUAGCGAUUUGCCGUCAAGAGACAAAGUUUCUCGGGUGCUUCCCUGCGCGCAGACGGAAGCCCAAGCGAAGAUGACAACGGGUUGCGAAGGGGCUGGCGGCGAGAGGAGGGGAACGACGGGCUGGCGGCGGCGGAGCUCGGCCCCAGGCCGCUCACCCCAAACCCCCCUCCCGCAGUCCUGCCCGCCCGCUGCUUCCCCAAACCCCAAACCCCCGCAAACCGCUUACGAGGGCCGCGACCCGCCUGACAGAACGGAGGGCGAAGCGGCCCGAGCCGCUCUCGUGGUUCACCCCGCUUUUAACCAGAAAGGCUCCUUCUCCGUCACCGUCACCGUGGAUCCCGGUGCUCGGGAAGCGGAGCCGGGGCCACGAAGCCGCAGCCACGGGGUCACCACCCGUGGAGGCGGCUGGACUCCCUCCCUCCCUCCCUCGGCGGGAGAGGCGGACUCUGCGGCCUGACCGGGCCCGGCAGUCAUCCUCUGAGGAUGCGAGGGCUCACCCGACCACCGGCAGCUCCCCGUGACCCACGGGACAGGGGCUCCCACGGACACCGGGACUGCGUCCUGCCCUGCCCGGGCCGUGAGGCGGCCCGCCGGGGCGGGGGGGGGGGGGGUGUGUGAAGAGACUCCCCGCGCCGCGCGCGGGCCGGUUCCCCGUUGCCCCGGCAACGGUUGCCUAGCGAGGGCCGCAGGCGGCCCGACUCUCGGCGCCUGCGCAUUGUGGCUCCCCCUCCCGCUCACCG
Molecule: long non-coding RNA, 3475 nt
Organism: Aquila chrysaetos chrysaetos
Lineage: Eukaryota; Metazoa; Chordata; Aves; Accipitriformes; Accipitridae
Exons: 3
Source: RefSeq, a predicted model, not a curated record